Molecule: ribosomal RNA, 293 nt
Filed under: uncultured bacterium
Lineage: Bacteria
Description: partial 16S ribosomal RNA
Rfam family: Archaeal small subunit ribosomal RNA
Source: RNAcentral
GUGCCAGCCGCCGCGGUAAUACCGGCAGCUCAAGUGAUGUCCCAUAUUAUUGGGUCUAAAGCGUCCGUAGCUGGCCGACCAAGUCUACCGGGAAAUCCGCCCGCUCAACGGGCGGCCGUCCAGCGGAACCUGUGUGGCUUGGGACCGGGAGGCCUGAGGGGUACGAUCGGGGUAGGAGUGAAAUCCUGUAAUCCCGCUCGGACCGCCGAUGGGGAAACCACCUCAGGAGAACGGAUCCGACAGUGAGGGACGAAAGCCAGGGUCUCGAACCGGAUUAGAUACCCGGGUAGUCC